This 1146-nucleotide ribosomal RNA is filed under the name Acinetobacter sp. RNAcentral describes it as "bacterial SSU rRNA". It matches the Rfam family "Bacterial small subunit ribosomal RNA", at positions 359 to 1533 of the family's 1533-position model. Lineage: Bacteria; Pseudomonadati; Pseudomonadota; Gammaproteobacteria; Moraxellales; Moraxellaceae. The record is from RNAcentral.
GGCGUGAGUAUGGGGGGACCUGAUCAGCCAUGCCGCGUGUGUGAAGAAGGCCUUAUGGUUGUAAAGCACUUUAAGCGAGGAGGAGGCUACUAGUAUUAAUACUACUGGAUAGUGGACGUUACUCGCAGAAUAAGCACCGGCUAACUCUGUGCCAGCAGCCGCGGUAAUACAGAGGGUGCGAGCGUUAAUCGGAUUUACUGGGCGUAAAGCGUGCGUAGGCGGCCAUUUAAGUCAAAUGUGAAAUCCCCGAGCUUAACUUGGGAAUUGCAUUCGAUACUGGAUGGCUAGAGUAUGGGAGAGGAUGGUAGAAUUCCAGGUGUAGCGGUGAAAUGCGUAGAGAUCUGGAGGAAUACCGAUGGCGAAGGCAGCCAUCUGGCCUAAUACUGACGCUGAGGUACGAAAGCAUGGGGAGCAAACAGGAUUAGAUACCCUGGUAGUCCAUGCCGUAAACGAUGUCUACUAGCCGUUGGGGCCUUUGAGGCUUUAGUGGCGCAGCUAACGCGAUAAGUAGACCGCCUGGGGAGUACGGUCGCAAGACUAAAACUCAAAUGAAUUGACGGGGGCCCGCACAAGCGGUGGAGCAUGUGGUUUAAUUCGAUGCAACGCGAAGAACCUUACCUGGCCUUGACAUACUAGAAACUUUCCAGAGAUGGAUUGGUGCCUUCGGGAAUCUAGAUACAGGUGCUGCAUGGCUGUCGUCAGCUCGUGUCGUGAGAUGUUGGGUUAAGUCCCGCAACGAGCGCAACCCUUUUCCUUACUUGCCAGCAUUUCGGAUGGGAACUUUAAGGAUACUGCCAGUGACAAACUGGAGGAAGGCGGGGACGACGUCAAGUCAUCAUGGCCCUUACGGCCAGGGCUACACACGUGCUACAAUGGUCGGUACAAAGGGUUGCUACCUAGCGAUAGGAUGCUAAUCUCAAAAAGCUCGAUCGUAGUCCGGAUUGGAGUCUGCAACUCGACUCCAUGAAGUCGGAAUCGCUAGUAAUCGCGGAUCAGAAUGCCGCGGUGAAUACGUUUCUCGGGCCUUGUACACACCGCUCGUCACACCAUGGAGUUUGUGCACCAGAAGUAGGUAGUCUAAUUGCAGAGACGCUACUACGUGUGCCGAUGACUGGGGGUGAGUCUACAAACAAGAGAGAAACCAAA